GAUGAACGCUAGCGGCAGGCUUAAUACAUGCAAGUCGAGGGGCAGCACGGUUAGCAAUAACUGGUGGCGACCGGCGCACGGGUGCGUAACACGUAUACAAUCUACCUUAAACGGGGGGAUAGCCUUUCGAAAGAGAGAUUAAUACCCCGUAAUAAAUUGAACGGCAUCGUUUGAUUUUGAAAGCUCCGGCGGUUUGAGAUGAGUAUGCGUCUGAUUAGCUAGUUGGUGAGGUAACGGCUCACCAAGGCGACGAUCAGUAGGGGAUCUGAGAGGACUAACCCCCACACUGGUACUGAGACACGGACCAGACUCCUACGGGAGGCAGCAGUAAGGAAUAUUGGUCAAUGGAGGCAACUCUGUACCAGCCAUGCCGCGUGCAGGAUGACGGCCCUAUGGGUUGUAAACUGCUUUUAUACAAGAGAAAACCCUGGUACGUGUACCAGGUUGAUAGUAUUGUAAGAAUAAGCAUCGGCUAACUUCGUGCCAGCAGCCGCGGUAA
This 499-nucleotide ribosomal RNA is filed under the name uncultured bacterium. Its description in RNAcentral is "bacterial SSU rRNA". It matches the Rfam family "Bacterial small subunit ribosomal RNA", at positions 28 to 523 of the family's 1533-position model. The record is from RNAcentral.